This 772-nucleotide ribosomal RNA is filed under the name uncultured Neocallimastigales. Its description in RNAcentral is "partial large subunit ribosomal RNA". It matches the Rfam family "Eukaryotic large subunit ribosomal RNA", at positions 22 to 646 of the family's 3401-position model. Lineage: Eukaryota; Fungi; Neocallimastigomycota; Neocallimastigomycetes; Neocallimastigales. The record is from RNAcentral.
UACACGCUGUGACUAGCAUAUCAAUAAGCGGAGGAAAAGAAACUAACAAGGAUUCCCCUAGUAACGGCGAGUGAAGCGGGAAGAGCUCAAAUUUGAAAUCUUAAAGGGUUUCCCUUUACGAAUUGUAGUUUAAAGAAGUGUUUUCUGUUGAGGUUUUGGUAAAAGUUCUUUGGAAUAGGACAUCAUAGAGGGUGAGAAUCCCGUAUUUGACCUUUACUUUCAACUUUGUGAUACACUUUCAAAGAGUCGGAUUGUUUGGGAAUGCAGUCCAAAAUGGGUGGUAAAUUUCAUCUAAAGCUAAAUAUUGGCGAGAGACCGAUAGCGAACAAGUACCGUGAGGGAAAGAUGAAAAGAACUUUGAAAAGAGAGUUAAACAGUACGUGAAAUUGUCAAAAGGGAGGCGUCUGACACCAGUGUUGUUUUUCUGAAAAUCAAUUAAAGAACUGUUUAUGCUAAGUUGUUUAGACUUUAUCAGCUAUCUGUUUAGUUUUGAGCUUUUCUUUAAUGCACUUUUCAGUUAACAAGUCAACAUCAAUUUCUUUUGCUGUAAAAAGCUUGAGGAAGGUGGCUUGAGAUUCGUCUUAAGUGUUUAUAGCCUCUUGCCUAUGCAGUCGGAGAGAUUGAGGUCUGCAGCGUAGAUCCUUCGGGGCUAAAUGCAUUUGUGCUAAGUUAUAGCAUUUUAUAGACAACUUGUUGACUAUGAUUUGUCUUGUAGCUUACUCGCUUAUGUUAUUUUACCUACGCUUAGGAUGUUGACGAGACUGUCGAUCUC